GUCUAUGGUGUAAUUGGCAGCACGACUGAUUCUGGUUCAGUUAGUCUUGGUUCGAGUCCAGGUAGACCAGCU
This 72-nucleotide transfer RNA is filed under the name Streptomyces leeuwenhoekii. RNAcentral's name for it is "tRNA-Gln-CTG". It matches the Rfam family "tRNA". Rfam says of the family: Transfer RNA (tRNA) molecules are approximately 80 nucleotides in length. Their secondary structure includes four short double-helical elements and three loops (D, anti-codon, and T loops). Further hydrogen bonds mediate the characteristic L-shaped molecular structure. tRNAs have two regions of fundamental functional importance: the anti-codon, which is responsible for specific mRNA codon recognition, and the 3' end, to which the tRNAs corresponding amino acid is attached (by aminoacyl-tRNA synthetases). tRNAs cope with the degeneracy of the genetic code in two manners: having more than one tRNA (with a specific anti-codon) for a particular amino acid; and 'wobble' base-pairing, i.e. permitting non-standard base-pairing at the 3rd anti-codon position. The record is from RNAcentral. Lineage: Bacteria; Bacillati; Actinomycetota; Actinomycetes; Kitasatosporales; Streptomycetaceae.